RNAcentral lists this unclassified non-coding RNA (334 nucleotides) under soil metagenome. Its description in RNAcentral is "partial contains 5.8S ribosomal RNA, internal transcribed spacer 2, and large subunit ribosomal RNA". The stretch from base 1 to 120 matches the Rfam family "5.8S ribosomal RNA", at positions 35 to 154 of the family's 154-position model. The record is from RNAcentral.
GAUGAAGAACGUAGCGAAAUGCGAUAAGUAAUGUGAAUUGCAGAAUUCAGUGAAUCAUCGAAUCUUUGAACGCACAUUGCGCCCGCCAGUAUUCUGGCGGGCAUGCCUGUUCGAGCGUCAUUUCAACCAUCAAGCCCCGGCUUGUGUUGGGGACCUGCGGCUGCCGCAGGCCCUGAAAACCAGUGGCGGGCUCGCUAGUCACUCCGAGCGUAGUAGUUACAUCUCGCUCAGGGCGUGCUGCGGGUUCCGGCCGUUAAAAGCCUUAUUUACCCAAGGUUGACCUCGGAUCAGGUAGGAAGACCCGCUGAACUUAAGCAUAUCAAUAAGCGGAGGA